RNAcentral lists this ribosomal RNA (595 nucleotides) under Enterococcus avium. Its description in RNAcentral is "bacterial SSU rRNA". It matches the Rfam family "Bacterial small subunit ribosomal RNA", at positions 1 to 568 of the family's 1533-position model. Lineage: Bacteria; Bacillati; Bacillota; Bacilli; Lactobacillales; Enterococcaceae. The record is from RNAcentral.
UUUUAUGAGAGUUUGAUCCUGGCUCAGGACGAACGCUGGCGGCGUGCCUAAUACAUGCAAGUCGAACGCUUUUUCUUUCACCGGAGCUUGCUCCACCGAAAGAAAAGGAGUGGCGAACGGGUGAGUAACACGUGGGUAACCUGCCCAUCAGAAGGGGAUAACACUUGGAAACAGGUGCUAAUACCGUAUAACAAUCGAAACCGCAUGGUUUCGGUUUGAAAGGCGCUUUUGCGUCACUGAUGGAUGGACCCGCGGUGCAUUAGCUAGUUGGUGAGGUAACGGCUCACCAAGGCAACGAUGCAUAGCCGACCUGAGAGGGUGAUCGGCCACAUUGGGACUGAGACACGGCCCAAACUCCUACGGGAGGCAGCAGUAGGGAAUCUUCGGCAAUGGACGCAAGUCUGACCGAGCAACGCCGCGUGAGUGAAGAAGGUUUUCGGAUCGUAAAACUCUGUUGUUAGAGAAGAACAAGGAUGAGAGUAGAAUGUUCAUCCCUUGACGGUAUCUAACCAGAAAGCCACGGCUAACUACGUGCCAGCAGCCGCGGUAAUACGUAGGUGGCAAGCGUUGUCCGGAUUUAUUGGGCGUAAAGCGA